This 403-nucleotide ribosomal RNA is filed under the name uncultured bacterium. RNAcentral describes it as "partial 16S ribosomal RNA". It matches the Rfam family "Bacterial small subunit ribosomal RNA", at positions 28 to 526 of the family's 1533-position model. The record is from RNAcentral.
GACGAACGCUGGCGGCGUGCCUAAUACAUGCAAGUCGAACGCAGUGGGGACGGGUGAGUAACACGUGGGUAACCUCCCAUCAGAGGGGAUAACACUUGGAAACAGGUGCUAAACCGAUCCUGAUGGAUGGACCCGCUGUGCAUUAGCUAGUUGGUGAGGUAACGGCUCACCCAGGCCAAGUUGCAUAGCCGACCUGAGGGGGUGGUCGGUCAACUGGGGACUGAGACACGGCCCAGACUCCUACGGGAGCAAGUAGUAGGGAAUCUUCGGCAAUGGACGAAAGUCUUACCGAGCAACGCCGCGUGAGGGAAGAAGGUUUUCGGAUCGUAAAACUCUGUUGUUAGAGAAGCGGUAUCUAACCAGAAAGCCACGGCUAACUACGUGCCAGCCGCCGCGGUAAUUC